This is a non-coding RNA of Camelina sativa (false flax), 170 nucleotides long. Lineage: Eukaryota; Viridiplantae; Streptophyta; Magnoliopsida; Brassicales; Brassicaceae. The record is from RefSeq and is a predicted model, not a curated record.
AUNCCUAGUGAUGAAGAGUUGAAAAAUGCAAUUAUUGAUAUCUUGAAAGGGGUCGACUUCAACACGGCUACAUUCACUGACAUCCUCAAGCGACUUGAUAAAAAGUUCAAAAUCGAUCUCACCUCAAGAAAAUCAUCUAUUAAGCUGAUGAUCCAAGAUGAGCUCAAAAA